AAAGAGCACCCUAGAGAUGAUUUCAGCAUCUUCCAAGGUCACGAGCUCUGUGGUUGCAUCUUUGCAUUAAAAGCAUGGAGACCAAAAACAAAGCACUGAGUUGACUUAAGCCUUCUUCCAUAAACGAAGCCUCUGUUUUUGGAAAGACACCAAGAACGGAUGCACUCGAGCUGAUUUUCUGUAAUGAUCAAGACUCUGUUGGGUCAAUGUAAGUAAUAAUUCAAGUUCCUUUCUUUGUGGGGGCAGCCUGUUUAGGGUACUCAGUGUGUGAAUAUAAAAGUAUGAAAUACAGUCAGAGGAGGCCGAAUUAGGACCAAUGAUGAGAUUAUGUUAUAAACCAAAGUUCUCAAUGAAUCUGAUUUAGCACAACAGAUGCCCUUUUAAAAAGUUCUAACCUCUUAGUUCUGGGCAUAAGGGACAUAGGGUCAAUUGCCUGUAACACCCAUAGUUUUUCUUAUGUAGAGUAGUUCAUCGAAGGAUGUUCAUUAUAUUAUUUAAAUGGAUAACUAGGAGCAGUAAUAAAAUGGAGGUCCAUUCAUAAACUAAAGAUAAGAA
Long non-coding RNA from Pteropus alecto (black flying fox), 555 nucleotides. RefSeq lists it as uncharacterized. The record is from RefSeq and is a predicted model, not a curated record. NCBI's taxonomy places the organism in Eukaryota, Metazoa, Chordata, Mammalia, Chiroptera, Pteropodidae. The transcript is spliced from 3 exons.